Molecule: ribosomal RNA, 307 nt
Filed under: Berteroa incana
Lineage: Eukaryota; Viridiplantae; Streptophyta; Magnoliopsida; Brassicales; Brassicaceae
Description: eukaryotic LSU rRNA
Rfam family: Eukaryotic large subunit ribosomal RNA (bases 194-307)
Source: RNAcentral
CCCCCCCCUCCAUCCUUGCUUGCGAGGAUGCGGACGGGACGGAAGCUGGUCUCCCGUGUGUUACCGCACGCGGUUGGCCAAAAUCCGAGCUAAGGACGCGUGGAGCGUCCCGACCUGCGGUGGUGAAAACUUGCCUCUUUGUACGGUCGGACGCUCCUGUCCGGAAACUCCAGAUGACCCGAAGUCCUCAACGCGACCCCAGGUCAGGCGGGAUCACCCGCUGAGUUUAAGCAUAUCAAUAAGCGGAGGAGAAGAAACUAACAAGGAUUCCCUUAGUAACGGCGAGCGAACCGGGAAGAGCCCAGCU